UGCGUAGGUGGUUGUUUAAGUCUGUCGUGAAAGCCCUGGGCUCAACCUGGGAACUGCGAUGGAAACUGGGCGACUAAAGUGUGGUAGAGGGUAGCGGAAUUCCUGGUGUAGCAGUGAAAUGCGUAGAUAUCAGGAGGAACAUCCAUGGCGAAGGCAGCUACCUGGGCCAACACUGACACUGAGGCACGAAAGCGUGGGAGCAAACA
This 206-nucleotide ribosomal RNA is filed under the name uncultured bacterium. RNAcentral describes it as "partial 16S ribosomal RNA". It matches the Rfam family "Bacterial small subunit ribosomal RNA", at positions 568 to 774 of the family's 1533-position model. The record is from RNAcentral.